RNAcentral lists this ribosomal RNA (397 nucleotides) under uncultured bacterium. RNAcentral describes it as "partial 16S ribosomal RNA". It matches the Rfam family "Bacterial small subunit ribosomal RNA", at positions 523 to 918 of the family's 1533-position model. The record is from RNAcentral.
AUACGAAGGGUGCAAGCGUUACUCGGAAUUACUGGGCGUAAAGCGUGCGUAGGUGGUUGUUUAAGUCUGUCGUGAAAGCCCUGGGCUCAACCUGGGAAUGGCGGUUGAAACUGGGCGACUAGCGUGGGGACGAGGGGAGGGGAAUUUCUGGUGUAGCAGUGAAAGGCGUAGAGAUCAGGAGGAACAUCCGUGGCGAAGGCGACUGCCUGGGCCAACACUGACACUGAGGCACGAAAGCGUGGGGAGCAAACAGGAUUAGAUACCCUGGUAGUCCACGCCCUAAACGAUGCGAACUGGAUGUCGGGUGCAAUUUGGCACGCAGUAUCGAAGCUAACGCGUUAAGUUCGCCGCCUGGGGAGUACGGUCGCAAGACUGAAACUCAAAUGAAUUGACGGGG